GUUUGUGUGCACUGUUGAGACAGCUUGAAUUGUUGUGUUUGGAAAUUAUUUUGAGUGUUUUUUUACAUUAUCGGUGGGUUGCAGUCUUUCCGAUGUAGUUCCGCCAGAAAAUUGAAUUUUUUUUGUUUCUUUUUUAAUGUUAACCUGUGAAGUAAACAUUUCGUUUGUAUAUGCGGCGCAGCCUUGUGGUUUCAUUAAGACCGAUGAUGGAAUACUCCAAUUUGCGUGCCGGCGUCUAACAUAAAACUUGUUUUUAAUCAAUGAGAUGAAUAUUAAGAACUCUUGCAACUAAUUCUAUCCCAUCCAGUUUUAACUUAACUAAUGAUAUACAAUGAGAGAGAUAAUACAUUUUCAAGUAUAUGAAGACUUAAAACCAUGUUUUAGGAGCGGCAAGGUACGGUAUUGGCGAGAUCAGAGAACCUAUGACAUCAGAUAAAAAUCUGUUUUCGCAAGAAUGUGAGUCGAAAAGUGAAAAGAUAAGAGGAAAUGCUAAAUUUGGAAUUGCCGAUUGCCGAUACAAGUGAAUCAAAAUUUGAAGAUUCCUAAAAUUUUAUAUAAAAAUGGACUGAAUGACAGUUCCUCUGUGCUUUUCUAUCACUACCAGAGACAACACAUGAUAUGUUAAUUUUCACACGUAUCUGACGCAGUAAAAGAUAUUGAUUAUUGUGGAGUAUGAAGACGAAUGGAAUAUUUUCGAAUAAAUCAAAUUUAUUUUUGAGAAGUAUUACAAGCAUGGUAUUUUUAAGUAUAUUUAACUGAGUUGCAUCAAUGGCUUUGCGGUAAUAAAAUGCAUGGGAAUAAUAAAUUACUUAAAAUAUUUGAAGGUUUUCUGAAAGGAGCAGAAAUAUGAAUCAGAUAUAGCCAUAAUAGACAUUUUACGGCUGCAACUCCGACUUCAGUUUUUUAAACACGUUCCAAAAGGCUUGGUAAUAAAAAAGCCGCAUCACAACUUCAAAACCACAUCUGUGGUUUAGUUUAACAUUAGGAGAUUUGGAAGCACUAUUACUAACUAAUACAGAAUAUCAGAACUUGGAGUUCAGAUCUAGACUUUAAUAAAAAAUUCAUCAAAAAUAGUCAUAAUGGAUACAGUAUAAUGGAUGUACGGUCGAAUAAGAUAUGGAAGGAUUGGGAUUAAAUCACUAUGAAAUUCAUAUUAAGAUACUACAAAUAUCAGUUUGAUGAAAUGCUUUGAAUUAAUAUAUAAAUUUGUUGGUAAUAAAUGAUUGAUUCUGCUGAUGAUGAUGAUUAAUUAGAAACAGAGUCAAUAAGAAGUUCUUAUUAUUAACACAAUUCUGUGAGUUUUAAAAGCAGUAUUUGACUUCAGAUGGAGUUGACUUCGAGUAUACAAUAUAUAAGACGUCAUACUAUACCGUAAACAACGUGGAAAAAACUGUACCUGCUGGAAUUGGCAAGACGAUUAAAAAUAAAAAACUACGAUUAAUAUCAGAUAAUAGACUGCAUCAAACAAAGUCUUUUGUAUAGGCUUCGAAACGUCUUUAUGUAUUUAAGUUAAAUUGAAGUGGAUGUGCACUACACACACACAAUAUAACUUAAGUAAGGAAUUUUGCAAUCCAAUUGUAUACACUCUUAUGACUAGAAAAGUCCCUUUUGAAGUUUAAAUGUGGUGUCAGAUUAUAUCCGAUUUAAAUAUGUUAGCACUCUUACUCAAGUUACUAUAAUUAAAACGGUUCAUAUACCAAAAACGAUAAAUGAGUAUAUGUUUUUUAGACAUAAAUAUAAAUGCAUUAUUUUUGCAUAUCUAAUUUAACCUAUUUAUUUGCACCAUAGAAUCAUUAUAAUUGAAAGUAAAUAUGCGAUAACUUCAUUGGCCGCUUGUAGGCCAAUGCUAGAGGUGGUUCCUAAUUCAUGACAUAUUGAACCAAAAUAAAUUUACUUAAAAAUUUAAAGUUUUUUU
Long non-coding RNA from Teleopsis dalmanni, 1915 nucleotides. RefSeq lists it as uncharacterized. The transcript is spliced from 7 exons. NCBI's taxonomy places the organism in Eukaryota, Metazoa, Arthropoda, Insecta, Diptera, Diopsidae. The record is from RefSeq and is a predicted model, not a curated record.